ACGGGAGGCAGCAGUGGGGAAUAUUGGACAAUGGGGGAAACCCUGAUCCAGCGACGCCGCGUGAGUGAAGAAGUAUUUCGGUAUGUAAAGCUCUAUCAGCAGGGAAGAUAAUGACGGUACCUGACUAAGAAGCCCCGGCUAACUACGUGCCAGCAGCCGCGGUAAUACGUAGGGGGCAAGCGUUAUCCGGAUUUACUGGGUGUAAAGGGAGCGUAGGUGGCAUGGCAAGCCAGAAGUGAAAACCCGGGGCUCAACCCCGCGGACUGCUUUUGGAACUGUCAGGCUAGAGUGCAGGAGGGGCAGGCGGAAUUCCUAGUGUAGCGGUGAAAUGCGUAGAUAUUAGGAGGAACACCGGUGGCGAAGGCGGCCUGCUGGACUGUAACUGACACUGAGGCUCGAAAGCGUGGGGAGCAAACAGGAUUAGAUACCCUGGUA
This 435-nucleotide ribosomal RNA is filed under the name uncultured Lachnospiraceae bacterium. RNAcentral's name for it is "partial 16S ribosomal RNA". It matches the Rfam family "Bacterial small subunit ribosomal RNA", at positions 341 to 792 of the family's 1533-position model. The record is from RNAcentral. Lineage: Bacteria; Bacillati; Bacillota; Clostridia; Lachnospirales; Lachnospiraceae.